RNAcentral lists this ribosomal RNA (427 nucleotides) under uncultured Thalassotalea sp. RNAcentral describes it as "bacterial SSU rRNA". It matches the Rfam family "Bacterial small subunit ribosomal RNA", at positions 353 to 772 of the family's 1533-position model. Lineage: Bacteria; Pseudomonadati; Pseudomonadota; Gammaproteobacteria; Alteromonadales; Colwelliaceae. The record is from RNAcentral.
AGUGGGGAAUAUUGCACAAUGGGGGAAACCCUGAUGCAGCCAUGCCGCGUGUGUGAAGAAGGCCUUCGGGUUGUAAAGCACUUUCAGUCGUGAGGAAAGGGUGUAAGUUAAUACCUUGCAUCUGUGACGUUAGCGACAGAAGAAGCACCGGCUAACUCCGUGCCAGCAGCCGCGGUAAUACGGAGGGUGCGAGCGUUAAUCGGAAUUACUGGGCGUAAAGCGUGCGUAGGCGGUUUGAUAAGUCAGAUGUGAAAUCCCGGAGCUUAACUUCGGAACUGCAUUUGAAACUGUUUAACUAGAGUACUGUAGAGGGUGGUGGAAUUUCCAGUGUAGCGGUGAAAUGCGUAGAGAUUGGAAGGAACAUCAGUGGCGAAGGCGGCCACCUGGACAGAUACUGACGCUGAGGCACGAAAGCGUGGGGAGCGAA